RNAcentral lists this transfer RNA (77 nucleotides) under Sphaerodactylus townsendi. Its description in RNAcentral is "tRNA-Ala". Lineage: Eukaryota; Metazoa; Chordata; Lepidosauria; Squamata; Sphaerodactylidae. The record is from RNAcentral.
UCCAUAGCUCAGUGGUAGAGUAUCCAAUUGGCAUGCAGAGGGUCCCAGGUUCAAUCCCUGGCACCUCUAGUUAAAAA